GCCGACUUAGCUCAGUUGGCAGAGCAUCUGUUUUGUAAACAGGAGGUCGAAGGUUCGAAUCCUUUAGUCGGCACUA
This 76-nucleotide transfer RNA is filed under the name Paucilactobacillus hokkaidonensis JCM 18461. Its description in RNAcentral is "tRNA-Thr". It matches the Rfam family "tRNA". From Rfam's summary of the family: Transfer RNA (tRNA) molecules are approximately 80 nucleotides in length. Their secondary structure includes four short double-helical elements and three loops (D, anti-codon, and T loops). Further hydrogen bonds mediate the characteristic L-shaped molecular structure. tRNAs have two regions of fundamental functional importance: the anti-codon, which is responsible for specific mRNA codon recognition, and the 3' end, to which the tRNAs corresponding amino acid is attached (by aminoacyl-tRNA synthetases). tRNAs cope with the degeneracy of the genetic code in two manners: having more than one tRNA (with a specific anti-codon) for a particular amino acid; and 'wobble' base-pairing, i.e. permitting non-standard base-pairing at the 3rd anti-codon position. Lineage: Bacteria; Bacillati; Bacillota; Bacilli; Lactobacillales; Lactobacillaceae. The record is from RNAcentral.